Molecule: long non-coding RNA, 304 nt
Filed under: Mytilus galloprovincialis (Mediterranean mussel)
Lineage: Eukaryota; Metazoa; Mollusca; Bivalvia; Mytilida; Mytilidae
Source: RNAcentral
GUAGAAUUUUAUGAUUUUUUAAAAUAUUAUUUUUUUUAAUUUUUCAAAAAACUAAAAUAUAUCAAUUUUCGAUAAGUAGUUAAAAGGCACCAUCGAUUUUGCGGAGUCUUAAAAGAAUGUCGCACUUGCUUAAAAACAACGUUUCAGUCCAAUUUUUGGUUUGAACGUUACGAAAUUUUAGCGACGUUGUGUCACGCUUUCAUGUACGAACAUCACGCGUAACGUCUAUACAUUUUUUUCCAAAUUGAUUAUUCAAGUUUUCGGUGAAGACGACAUUUGUAUUUUUACAGUUGUUACGUUAAUG